Molecule: non-coding RNA, 71 nt
Organism: Schistosoma margrebowiei
Lineage: Eukaryota; Metazoa; Platyhelminthes; Trematoda; Strigeidida; Schistosomatidae
Source: Rfam
GCGUCGGUGGUUCAGUGGUAGAAUGCUCGCCUGCCACGGGGGCGGCCCAAGUUCGAUUCCAGGCCGACUCA